This 755-nucleotide long non-coding RNA is filed under the name Helianthus annuus (common sunflower). Its description in RNAcentral is "hypothetical non coding rna". The record is from RNAcentral. Lineage: Eukaryota; Viridiplantae; Streptophyta; Magnoliopsida; Asterales; Asteraceae.
AUGAGUUUUGUUCGUGUCUAUGUAGGAAAACUCAUUGGGCCGAAGGUAAGGUGCCAUGGUGGUGAACGGGUGAUGGUGGCUUUGUCAUCGUCGGAGAAGACUUGAGGAUAAAACGUGAAGUAAAAUAUCCUAAACUAAACUGUUUAUAAUGUAGGAAAAUUAAUAUUAUAUGAUAAAAAAACAUCUCCUUAAAGUUAUUUAUAUAACGAAAAUUUGUCAAAAAUCUGAUACUGGCUAAUAGAACAAGGCGUCACGGUUUGGGUAAAAAAUUUCCUUUUUACUGACAAUUCUUACUUCAAAUUCUCAUAUUUAUUUCAUAGCUACCUACCCAUCAUUUAAUUUUAAUUAAUUUGAUUGAAUUCAAAAAUUUUGGUUAUUUAUUCUGACCGGUCACUUUACUCCACAUAAUAACUUAGAAAAAUAAAUAUGAUAUGAUAUAUACCCUAUCUUUUCAUCAACUUCCCCACCUAAAACACAGAAAAUAUUCAACAUAAAAAGAUAGAAAAACUGUGAAACAGUAUUCAUGAUUUUUGUUUAUAAACAAAAAAUUAUAUAAUAACACCCUCAGGCCGGCCAUGAUAGAGACAAAGAGAGUAAGAGAGAUAGAAGUACCACUUUGACUUUUGAGUGUGAUAAUAGUUUAUUCUGAAACUAAAGAAGACAAACUGUCUAUUUUUAAUGCUCCUUAAAUUUUCACAUGCGUAGGCCAACACAAAAGAAACUGCCAGGAGUAAUUUAACCAUGCAUUAUGAUUU